UGGGGAAUCUUGCACAAUGGGCGCAAGCCUGAUGCAGCCAUGCCGCGUGAGGGAGGAAGGCUCUUGGGUUGUAAACCUCUUUUCUGGGGGAAGAAGUCCUGACGGUACCCCAGGAAUCAGCAUCGGCUAACUCCGUGCCAGCAGCCGCGGUAAUACGGAGGGUGCAAGCGUUAUCCGGAAUUAUUGGGCGUAAAGCGUCCGCAGGUGGAGCGUCAAGUCUGCUGUCAAAGACCGGAGCUUAACUCCGGGCAGGCAGUGGAAACUGGCGAACUAGAGUACGGUAGGGGUAGAGGGAAUUCCCAGUGUAGCGGUGAAAUGCGUAGAGAUUGGGAAGAACACCAGUGGCGAAGGCGCUCUACUGGGCCGUAACUGACACUCAGGGACGAAAGCUAGGGGAGCGAAAGGGAUUAGAUACCCCUGUAGUCC
This 426-nucleotide ribosomal RNA is filed under the name uncultured prokaryote. RNAcentral describes it as "bacterial SSU rRNA". It matches the Rfam family "Bacterial small subunit ribosomal RNA", at positions 355 to 796 of the family's 1533-position model. The record is from RNAcentral.